Molecule: unclassified non-coding RNA, 21 nt
Filed under: Mus musculus (house mouse)
Lineage: Eukaryota; Metazoa; Chordata; Mammalia; Rodentia; Muridae
Description: oocyte_clustered_small_RNA6634
Source: RNAcentral
UCCUGAGACAACCUGACCAUG